This 139-nucleotide small nucleolar RNA is filed under the name Ochotona princeps (American pika). RNAcentral describes it as "Small nucleolar RNA SNORA74 (ENSOPRG00000023889.1)". Lineage: Eukaryota; Metazoa; Chordata; Mammalia; Lagomorpha; Ochotonidae. The record is from RNAcentral.
CUCAGCUGUAGGCAAUUGUCUAGGUUGCCUUGUACCUAGACAAGUGUCACACAGCUAGGAGAAAAGUAGCCAAUAGCUGGCAGGCAGUCUGGACCUGGCUAAUGCCACAUCUGUGUUAACUAUACUGUGUGCCAGCAGA